AUUUUUUGCCUUUUUGCCAUUUCUUGGGCUGCUCCCACAGUAUAUGGAGGUUCCCAGGCUAGGGGUCAAAUCGGAACUGUAGCCACUGGCCUGCACCACAGCCCCAGCAAUGUGGGAUCCGAGCCCGCGUCUGCGACCUACACCACAGCCCACGGCAACGCCAGAUCCUUAACCCACUGAGCGAGGCCAGGAUCAAACCCGCAACCUCAUGGUUCCUAGUUGGAUUCGUUAACCACUGCGCCACAACGGGAACGCCUUGCUUAAUUUCUUUAACCAGGAGAGAUGCUCGUGUGUAAAGGCUUUGCUUUGCAGCUCUCUCUACACCCUGCUUCCAGCGCAGUGAGGCAGAAGAGUGUCAGCUCUGCGAGCUGACAGACACGGGUCCCAAACCAUGGUUCGGUCUCUCCUGGCUGCACAACCUCAGGCAGAUUCCUGAAUCUCUCGGAGCCCGGGUCCUCCUUUGAAAAUUACAUAAGACACCGUGGUCGUUGCAGAGUGUCUGACACAAGGUCCGAACCAUAUGUGCAGUUCCUUCUUCCGUCUUCAAUUUGUCAACAGUUUUUGCUUCGAGACCCCUUUCCCAAGCCCUAGAACCGACACAGAAAGUAGGCCCCCUCCUCCCCGACCACGGUGUGAAGCGGAGGAAAUACCCAUUUGGGGAAGUGAGUGUCCAAGUGUCUCUAAGGCUGAUUCCCAGAUGCUCCCGCCCCACAUCCACCCACAGGGAAAAGGAAGAGAAACCUCUUCCCACAGCAGCGCUUUCUUCAUUUGCCGCAGAAAAAGGAUCGCGGUUCCCAGAGCAAGUGCAACCCAGCCGAGCUGGGAGGCUCUCGGCCACCAAGAGAGCACUUCCGGCACUUCAACAGGCCAGGCCUCGGCCUUCCUCCUUACUGCUUGUCUGCAACCUACUAUUUUGCGAUUCCCAAAGACAUUCCUAGUUUCCCAAAACAGAACCACUUAUUAUUUCAGUCUGCGUUACUACCUUGGAAACCAGAGACAUUUGUUACAUCGCCCUUUACAAGUGCACUGAGCAACCGCUGCGCCAGGACUGAUGUUGGAUUCUCUUUGUGAUGGUGUUUCCCUCUGCAACAUUUGAAGAACUGUAAAGUUUCACUUUUCCCACGAGAUAGCCAGUGACCACGUAAGCGAGCUGCUAACCGAAAGGCUGGACAAGAAGAAGCGGGAAAAAGAAUGUUCCCAGGGAGAUACGACUUACCGCACCCAUUUGCCUGGAAGCCUUGUGACACGGUAAGGACGAAUCUUUCCCUCCUGGAGAGAUCGGCCCUCCUGAAACACGAAGAUACCAAGGAAUCAACACACCGUGGGAUCAACAUUGGCAAGUGGGCAUAACAGGAAAUUCAAAAGAAUACACUGUCCCGCUGUGUCCUCUUCUUUAAGGGGCUAAGAAUUCAGCAUCGCCGCAGCCGGGGCUCGUGGCUCAGAUUCAGUCCCUGGGAACGUCCAUAUGUUGCUCCUGUGGCCAUUUAACAAAGCAGCAGCAGCAGCAGCACACUAUUUAGAUAUUAGUGGGGAAAGCUAAAUGGAACUUGGUUUUCAAAAGUUACCUUACGGUUUCUAACGCGGAGACCCCAGAGAGUGGCAGGAAAUAGGUGUGAAACGCUGACCAUAGAUACAGAGUCCACAGUCUUUAUUGUAAGCAACGGCCUAAGAGUGAGAGGCCCUCACAUUUAGUUAUGAAAGGAAAAAAAGAAAAGAAAAGCUUUCUCCAAAGAAUUAAUCGUGGCUACUGAGGUGACUACAGGAUUCUGACUAUGAGAAAGACAGGAAAGUAUUAGCAGACAACGGAGACCUGGGAUGAGAAAAGAAAGGGCUCUUUGAGAAACUUAAAAAUAUCCCCCAUCUUGUUAAUGACUGCCCAAGAAUCUUCCUCUUUCACACUCCAGGGGUGAAUGAUCAUUCUUUCUCUCUCUCUCUUUUUUUUUUUUUUUUUGUCUUUUUGCCAUUUCUUGGGCCGCUCCCAUGGCAUAUGGAAGUUCCCAGGCUAGGGGUCCAAUGGGAGCCUACACCACAGCCACAGCAACUCGGGAUCCGAGCCGCGUCUGCAACCUACAC
RNAcentral lists this long non-coding RNA (2073 nucleotides) under Sus scrofa (pig). Its description in RNAcentral is "lncRNA (ENSSSCG00025018704.1)". The record is from RNAcentral. Lineage: Eukaryota; Metazoa; Chordata; Mammalia; Artiodactyla; Suidae.